Molecule: ribosomal RNA, 253 nt
Filed under: uncultured bacterium
Lineage: Bacteria
Description: partial 16S ribosomal RNA
Rfam family: Bacterial small subunit ribosomal RNA
Source: RNAcentral
UACGGGGGGUGCAAGCGUUGUUCGGAAUUAUUGGGCGUAAAGAGCGUGUAGGCGGUUUGUUAAGUCUGAAGUGAAAGCCCUGGGCUCAACCCGGGAAGUGCAUUGGAUACUGGCAGACUUGAGUACGGGAGAGGGUAGUGGAAUUCCUAGUGUAGGGGUGAAAUCCGUAGAUAUUAGGAGGAACACCGGUGGCGAAGGCGGCUACCUGGACCGAUAUUGACGCUGAGGCGCGAAAGCGUGGGGAGCAAACAGG